UGGGGAAUAUUGCACAAUGGGGGAAACCCUGAUGCAGCAACGCCGCGUGGAGGAUGAAGGUCUUCGGAUUGUAAACUCCUUUGAUGAGGGACGAAAAAAAUGACGGUACCUCAAAAACAAGCCACGGCUAACUACGUGCCAGCAGCCGCGGUAAUACGUAGGUGGCAAGCGUUGUCCGGAAUUAUUGGGCGUAAAGGGCGCGUAGGCGGUCCUUUAAGUCAGAUGUGAAAACCCGAGGCUCAACUUCGGGCGUGCAUUUGAAACUGGAGGACUAGAGUGCAGGUGAGGUAAGUGGAAUUCCUAGUGUAGCGGUGAAAUGCGUAGAUAUUAGGAGGAACACCACUGGCGAAGGCGACUUACAGGACUGUAACUGACGCUGAGGCGCGAAAG
Molecule: ribosomal RNA, 390 nt
Filed under: uncultured bacterium
Lineage: Bacteria
Description: bacterial SSU rRNA
Rfam family: Bacterial small subunit ribosomal RNA
Source: RNAcentral